GAUACCCUUCGAGAUAAAGAAGAUUCUGAGACUUAGUAAUGUUUUCCUGGAGAGGUUCCUUCACCCUGAAGUUAUGCACCGGACCCGUGAGAAGCACAGGUGUGUCCUCCAGCCUGCCUGAAGAAAGGAAAUUAGAUCCAAUGCCACGCUUCCCAGUGGGAGGUUGAGUGUUUAUGUAUAAAGGUAAGUGUCGUGUCUUUCAUUUUAGUGUGGCCUAUUAAUUCACCAUGUUUGUUAUGGACUCAUUGUCUUUAAUUGCCCUGUUAUUAUCAGUUGCAUGUUGGUGUAAAUCUGUUUUUGGUUAUUUCUCAAGACUCUUGCAUGUAGGAAUGUCAGGAAAACAAAGUGAUGGACUGACUUUAAUUAGUACACACAUCUGGAGCACUAAAGGUCAGACUUAUUCCUUAAUAAAAUUCCCAUCCAGAAACACGUUAUUUCCUGACAAGAGUCACCCGCAUAAAUUCCGUAGGAACCCGGAGCCAGGAACCAGCUGUUGGCAUGUCUAGAGGCCACUAAACCAGCGCUCUUUCAAUAUUCAUUACAAUUACUCUGUGUUCCUUUUACAUGGGAUUCUUGUGGAAGUGACAGGUUGUUGACUGGUGAGCUCAGUGCUGGUGUUGGAGGAGCUCAUUAAAAAUGGAAACUGUGAAAGUAGGCCAGCGGUGUACUGAUGUGGAGGCAAUGGGUAAAGAGAAAGGAAAGCCGUUCCAAGUUCUCCAUGGCCUAUCCCAUGUCACCGUCUUCCCUUGGUCUGCUUUCCGCAUGAAGAGGUUGUCACCUCUCCUGCCAGCAUCUUUGGUUUGAUGCCACAGCUCAAGCACACACUCGGCCUGCCUGCAUCAGCCCGUUCCCAUCUAGCCGUCUAGCCUGACAUCUGGAUCUGACAGAAGAAAGCCAUAUGGUCCUGGAACGACAUGAAAA
This is a long non-coding RNA of Puntigrus tetrazona (Sumatra barb), 921 nucleotides long. RefSeq lists it as uncharacterized. NCBI's taxonomy places the organism in Eukaryota, Metazoa, Chordata, Actinopteri, Cypriniformes, Cyprinidae. The transcript is spliced from 3 exons. The record is from RefSeq and is a predicted model, not a curated record.